UACGGAGGGGGCUAGCGUUGUUCGGAAUUACUGGGCGUAAAGCGCGCGUAGGCGGCCCGGUAAGUCCGCUGUGAAAGUCAAAGGCUCAACCUUUGAAUGUCAGCGGAUACUGCCAGGCUAGAGUCCGGAAGAGGCGAGUGGAACUCCUGGUGUAGCGGUGGGAUGCGCAGAUAUCAGGAAGAACACCAACGGCGAAGGCAGCUCGCUGGGACGGAACUGACGCUGAGGCGCGAAAGCGUGGGGAGCGAACAGG
RNAcentral lists this ribosomal RNA (253 nucleotides) under uncultured bacterium. RNAcentral describes it as "partial 16S ribosomal RNA". It matches the Rfam family "Bacterial small subunit ribosomal RNA", at positions 524 to 776 of the family's 1533-position model. The record is from RNAcentral.